Molecule: ribosomal RNA, 497 nt
Filed under: uncultured bacterium
Lineage: Bacteria
Description: partial 16S ribosomal RNA
Rfam family: Bacterial small subunit ribosomal RNA
Source: RNAcentral
GAUGAACGCUGGCGGCGUGCCUAAUACAUGCAAGUCGAGCGAACAGACGAGGAGCUUGCUCCUCUGACGUUAGCGGCGGACGGGUGAGUAACACGUGGAUAACCUACCUAUAAGACUGGGAUAACUUCGGGAAACCGGAGCUAAUACCGGAUAAUAUAUUGAACCGCAUGGUUCAAUAGUGAAAGACGGUUUUGCUGUCACUUAUAGAUGGAUCCGCGCCGCAUUAGCUAGUUGGUAAGGUAACGGCUUACCAAGGCAACGAUGCGUAGCCGACCUGAGAGGGUGAUCGGCCACACCGGAACUGAGACACGGUCCAGACUCCUACGGGAGGCAGCAGUAGGGAAUCUUCCGCAAUGGGCGAAAGCUUGACGGAGCAACGCCGCGUGAGUGAUGAAGGUCUUCGGAUCGUAAAACUCUGUUAUUAGGGAAGAACAAAUGUGUAAGUAACUAUGCACGUCUUGACGGUACCUAAUCAGAAAGCCACGGCUAACUACGUG